RNAcentral lists this ribosomal RNA (515 nucleotides) under uncultured bacterium. Its description in RNAcentral is "partial 16S ribosomal RNA". It matches the Rfam family "Bacterial small subunit ribosomal RNA", at positions 28 to 523 of the family's 1533-position model. The record is from RNAcentral.
GACGAACGCUGGCGGCGUGCCUAAUACAUGCAAGUCGAGCGGAGUUGAUGAGGAGCUUGCUUCUCUGAUGCUUAGCGGCGGACGGGUGAGUAACACGUAGGCAACCUGCCCACAAGAUCGGGAUAACAUUCGGAAACGAAUGCUAAGACCGGAUAAACAGUGCUCUCGCAUGAGGGAACUGGGAAAGACGGAGCAAUCUGUCACUUGCGGAUGGGCCUGCGGCGCGUUAGCUAGUUGGUGAGGGAACGGCCCACCAAGGCGACGAUGCGUAGCCGACCUGAGAGGGUGAACGGCCACAAUGGGACUGAGACACGGCCCAGACUCCUACGGGAGGCAGCAGUAGGGAAUCUUCCACAAUGGGCGAAAGCCUGAUGGAGCAACGCCGCGUGAGUGAGGAAGGCUUUCGGGUCGUAAAGCUCUGUUGCCAGGGAAGAAUAAGGACAUGUUAACUGCAUGAUCGAUGACGGUACCUGAGAAGAAAGCCCCGGCUAACUACGUGCCAGCAGCCGCCGCGG